Molecule: ribosomal RNA, 508 nt
Filed under: uncultured bacterium
Lineage: Bacteria
Description: bacterial SSU rRNA
Rfam family: Bacterial small subunit ribosomal RNA
Source: RNAcentral
GACGAACGCUGGCGGCGUGGAUUAGGCAUGCAAGUCGAACGGUAUCAUCCUUUCGGGGGUGAGAGAGUGGCGAACUGGUGAGUAACACGUAGGUUAUCUACCCUCAAGACGGGGACAACCCAGGGAAACUUGGGCUAAUACCGGAUGUGAGCAACUUUUAGUUGUUUGAAAGGUGGCGUAAGCUGUCGCUUGGGGAUGAGCCUGCGUCCUAUUAGUUAGUUGGUGAGGUAACGGCUCACCUAGGCAAUGAUAGGUAGGCGGCCUUAACGGGUGGUCGCCCACACUGGGAUUGAGAUACGGCCCAGACUCCUACGGGAGGCAGCAGUCGAGAAUAGUCUACAAUGGUCGGAAGACUGAUAGUGCGACGCCGCGUGAACGAUGAAUCCCUUCGGGGUGUAAAGUUCUUUUAUAUGUGAGCAGUGCUUCUUAUAUUAACAGUAUGGGGAGAGAGAUAUUAGCAUAUGAAUAAGCAACGGCUAACUCCGUGCCAGCAGCCGGGUAAACUCGU